AGGGAUGUAGUUCAGUGGUUGAGUGCUUGCCUAACAUAUAAGAGACCCUGGGUUUAAUCCCCAGUACCGCCA
Molecule: transfer RNA, 72 nt
Filed under: Fukomys damarensis (Damara mole-rat)
Lineage: Eukaryota; Metazoa; Chordata; Mammalia; Rodentia; Bathyergidae
Rfam family: tRNA
About the family: Transfer RNA (tRNA) molecules are approximately 80 nucleotides in length. Their secondary structure includes four short double-helical elements and three loops (D, anti-codon, and T loops).
Source: Rfam by way of RNAcentral